This is a long non-coding RNA of Acanthopagrus latus (yellowfin seabream), 660 nucleotides long. RefSeq lists it as uncharacterized. NCBI's taxonomy places the organism in Eukaryota, Metazoa, Chordata, Actinopteri, Spariformes, Sparidae. The record is from RefSeq and is a predicted model, not a curated record. The transcript has 3 exons.
UCUGUCCUACACAGUCUCACUGAUGGCCUCCGACGACUUGUCGAAUUAAUAAGUAACAAUAUAUAACGAGACAGGCUGCACGUUUCUGCAAACGAUGUUUUCGGGCACAUCUAAACUGAAUUAAUCAACUAAAGUGCUGAUGGUGUUUUGCCAGUAAAUGCUGCAACACUUGUUGUGAAGCUCCAGAAAUGUUUUGUGGAGUACAAAACUUCCAGCAGCUCGGAACAGUUCUGGAAACAAUGGGCCUGCAGAGGAAGGUCGAGCCUAGCAGGCCAGAAACAACUGGGACUAUUUAAAGAACAAGUACAAAGUAGCUGCAGGUUUGAAUGAUGACGUGGAAACUAAAUUAUAUUUGUUUUACCCAUGCAAAUUAAUGAAUACUUUGUUGAUGUUACUGAUUUCCACUGCUUUAGGAUUGCUAAUAUCCAGGGACAGGAGAGGGUCAGUGGGAGGCCCAGCACUGCUACUGGGUCCUGGUUUGUCCUCAUAUAUGAGGUGUCAGGACAGAGGCCUUCCACUGCCCCCCGGUCCUAACUGCCUCCAUCCCUGAGUACACACCAGGGCCAAGUGACCAGGAGGAGGAGGAUGAAGACGAUGGGGAGGAGGAGAGCCCAUAGACAUAUAAAGAGUAGACGCCGCAACGGCUGCCGGGCAGGGAGA